Gossypium raimondii (Peruvian cotton) is the source of this 426-nucleotide long non-coding RNA. RefSeq lists it as uncharacterized. NCBI's taxonomy places the organism in Eukaryota, Viridiplantae, Streptophyta, Magnoliopsida, Malvales, Malvaceae. The transcript has 2 exons. The record is from RefSeq and is a predicted model, not a curated record.
ACCCUAAAUCAUUUCCCCUUUCUGCCAUUUGAAGCUGCGCUGUGGCCUCCCUUUCUAUACCGUUCCAAUUCUAUUUCCAAUCGGCCACACCAACGACAGCACCUCGACGGCGCACCGCCACCGGUGCAGAGGUCGUGGAAGAGGCAUGCGACGUGGAGGCUUGCACGACGUGCGUGGAAAGUGACAAUCGUUGGCACACACGCGCGGUGCGGACCCGAUGAUUGCGGCGCCACUGAAACUGCACUAGGGCUUCUCGAUCCUUCCUCUGCUAUUGAUUUCAGGCUACUGUUUGGGCUCAUUUAGUAAUGGGCUGUUAAUUAUUUGUUUUGCUUUAGCCAGGCCAAAAUUGGCCUAUUACACUGAUCUAUUCAAAUCUCUAUUUCAUUGUAACCAGAACAGGUUACAGAUAGUUUUCAUGUUCAUAAA